AGAGUUUGAUCCUGGCUCAGAACGAACGCUGGCGGCAGGCUUAACACAUGCAAGUCGAACGCCCCGCAAGGGGAGUGGCAGACGGGUGAGUAACGCGUGGGAAUCUACCUAGCUCUUCGGAAUAGCUCCGGGAAACUGGAAUUAAUACCGAGUACGCCCUACGGGGGAAAGAUUUAUCGGAGUUAGAUGAGCCCGCGUUGGAUUAGCUAGUUGGUGGGGUAAUGGCCUACCAAGGCGACGAUCCAUAGCUGGUCUGAGAGGAUGAUCAGCCACAUUGGGACUGAGACGCGGCCCAAACUCCUACGGGAGGCAGCAGUGGGGAAUAUUGGACAAUGGGCGCAAGCCUGAUCCAGCCAUGCCGCGUGAGUGAUGAAGGCCCUAGGGUUGUAAAGCUCUUUCACCGGAGAAGAUAAUGACGGUAUCCGGAGAAGAAGCCCCGGCUAACUUCGUGCCAGCAGCGGCGGUAAUUC
RNAcentral lists this ribosomal RNA (470 nucleotides) under uncultured bacterium. RNAcentral describes it as "bacterial SSU rRNA". It matches the Rfam family "Bacterial small subunit ribosomal RNA", at positions 8 to 526 of the family's 1533-position model. The record is from RNAcentral.